CCAACCUGCCCUUUACUCGGGGAUAGCCUUUCGAAAGAAAGAUUAAUACCCGAUAGCAUAAUGAUUCCGCAUGGUUUCAUUAUUAAAGGAUUCCGGUAAAGGAUGGAGAUGCGUUCCAUUAGGUUGUUGGUGAGGUAACGGCCCACCAAGCCUUCGAUGGAUAGGGGUUCUGAGAGGAAGGUCCCCCACAUUGGAACUGAGACACGGUCCAAACUCCUACGGGAGGCAGCAGUGAGGAAUAUUGGUCAAUGGGCGUUAGCCUGAACCAGCCAAGUAGCGUGAAGGAUGAAGGCUCUAUGGGUCGUAAACUUCUUUUAUAUAAGAAUAAAGUGCAGUAUGUAUACUGUUUUGUAUGUAUUAUAUGAAUAAGGAUCGGCUAACUCCGUGCCAGCAGCCGCGGUAAUACGGAGGAUCCGAGCGUUAUCCGGAUUUAUUGGGUUUAAAGGGAGCGUAGGUGGACUGGUAAGUCAGUUGUGAAAGUUUGCGGCUCAACCGUAAAAUUGCAGUUGAUACUGUCAGUCUUGAGUACAGUAGAGGUGGGCGGAAUUCGUGGUGUAGCGGUGAAAUGCUUAGAUAUCACG
RNAcentral lists this ribosomal RNA (581 nucleotides) under uncultured Bacteroidales bacterium. RNAcentral describes it as "bacterial SSU rRNA". It matches the Rfam family "Bacterial small subunit ribosomal RNA", at positions 121 to 701 of the family's 1533-position model. The record is from RNAcentral. Lineage: Bacteria; Pseudomonadati; Bacteroidota; Bacteroidia; Bacteroidales.